GCUUGCAGCCUAACAGGCAGAGCUGACUUAGUUGGAUUCAAUAUUAUGCCACUGAAAACCCAAUCACAGAUCAACAACAAUGAAUGAUCUUCAUUCACUCAAAUACUCAACCUACAGAAGGAGUCACUUCAAGAUCUGUAAGAUGCUGACCUGUAUGAAAAUGAUGGGAUAGGAUAAUCCCAUGUUUUAAUCAACACCUCUAACAGGUG
RNAcentral lists this long non-coding RNA (209 nucleotides) under Columba livia (rock pigeon). RNAcentral's name for it is "partial uncharacterized LOC102088078". Lineage: Eukaryota; Metazoa; Chordata; Aves; Columbiformes; Columbidae. The record is from RNAcentral.